GGGGUACAAAAGAACAUGACAGACAUACCCUAAAACAGACCAGACCACCUGGUUUAUCAAAAAAUAUGCUGAUAAUGAUGAUGAUGAAGCCCAGACUUGCCGCCGUUAAUCUUUGUUAUUUAUCUUCCUUCGUUGCAGAAUUGCUAUCAUCCAAAAUAGCAGAGUGGUAUCGGAUGUUGGUCAUGUUAGCAUUUUCAGAGUGAGGGGUCAAUAGUGAAAGAUCAGUUCAGUUCUCUAAAAACUUGUAGUAAUAGUCAAGUUGCUGGCAAACGAUUUAAUUGUAUUAUGUGCGUCCUCAAGCUACAGUCCUUUACCUGUUAACAAUCAGAGUAUCAGUCAAUGCAGUAAACUUACCCCUAAAGGCAAAACAAAAGACAAGACGACUCCACACUGUCCAAUCUCAAUACAUUUAUUUACCUGCAAGGCCGCUAG
Molecule: long non-coding RNA, 432 nt
Filed under: Linum usitatissimum (flax)
Lineage: Eukaryota; Viridiplantae; Streptophyta; Magnoliopsida; Malpighiales; Linaceae
Description: long non-coding RNA (LUSI_LNC001555)
Source: RNAcentral